UUAAAACAUUUGGUAGCCUACAUGGUAAAUGAUUUCAGAAUGAAUUUUGGAAGUCCUUUGCUAGUUAGUUGAUACUGCUGAUAGUCAAUUGUGGUUCUUGUGUUUAUAUAAUUAUGGAUUUUGUUUGUUUUAACAGGGUUGGCAAAAUGCUCAUCAAGGUCCAGUACCGUGGACUAAAAAAGUACCUCAAACUGCAGCCUGGUUUUUCUUAUGAAAGUUUCAUUGAAGAAGAAUUUGUGCCAGCAGGUUCUUCUACUCUAAAUUCUUCACUUUUCUGAAGUGAUAUGGAGAGGUCCUCUUCAAACAAGGGACAUCAAUCUACUGGUGCAGGAGAGAACACCUCUGCCAUAGGGGAUGCAGCAGAAAAGGCCAAAUGGAUGGUCCAGGAGGUUCUGGAGAAGAGUUCAGGGGGAGAGGAAACAAUGGAGGAGUAUAAGAGAUUGAGCACCUUGACACACUGCACAAGACGGCAUCAUAUCCUGGUCAGCCACAUUGUUGAAAUGCAUGGGAACUCUGGAUCUCAUUCAUCACCAUUGGGUCCUUGGUUACCUGUCUGACCAAAGCCCCUUUGUCCGGGAUUACUCAGUUUGGCUGAGCUGGUAGACACCAUACUGCUUUUUAUUGAGGAGAGUUGGAGGAUUUUGUGUAGAUGUUGAUGAAGAUGAUAUGUUGGUUAUAUCUCUGUCAGUCAUCUGAAUAUUUUUAAAUGCCCAAGCUAUUGUUAUUUUUUUUCUCAACGUCAGGUUUAAUUUACACUGAAUAAAUGCUGUUAAAUGAAA
Long non-coding RNA from Alosa alosa (allis shad), 779 nucleotides. RefSeq lists it as uncharacterized. The transcript has 4 exons. The record is from RefSeq and is a predicted model, not a curated record. Lineage: Eukaryota; Metazoa; Chordata; Actinopteri; Clupeiformes; Clupeidae.